This 498-nucleotide ribosomal RNA is filed under the name uncultured bacterium. Its description in RNAcentral is "bacterial SSU rRNA". It matches the Rfam family "Bacterial small subunit ribosomal RNA", at positions 28 to 517 of the family's 1533-position model. The record is from RNAcentral.
GAUGAACGCUAGCGACAGGCUUAACACAUGCAAGUCGAGGGGCAGCACGGGAGUAGCAAUACAACUGGUGGCGACCGGCGCACGGGUGAGUAACGCGUAUGCGACCUACCUAUCAGAGGGGAAUAACCCGGCGAAAGUCGGACUAAUACCGCAUAAAACAGGGGCACCGCAUGGUGAUAUUUGUUAAAGAAAUUCGCUGAUAGAUAGGCAUGCGUUCCAUUAGGUAGUUGGUGAGGUAACGGCUCACCAAGCCGACGAUGGAUAGGGGAACUGAGAGGUUGGUCCCCCACACUGGUACUGAGACACGGACCAGACUCCUACGGGAGGCAGCAGUGAGGAAUAUUGGUCAAUGGGCGAGAGCCUGAACCAGCCAAGUCGCGUGAAGGAAGAAGGAUCUAUGGUUCGUAAACUUCUUUUGCAGGGGAAUAAAGUGCAGGACGUGUCCUGUUUUGUAUGUACCCUGAGAAUAAGGAUCGGCUAACUCCGUGCCAGCAGCCG